UACAGAGGGGGCAAGCGUUGUUCGGAAUUACUGGGCGUAAAGGGCGCGUAGGCGGCCCGCUAAGUCGAACGUGAAAUCCCUGGGCUCAACCCAGGAACUGCGUCCGAUACUGGCAGGCUUGAAUCCGGGAGAGGGAUGCGGAAUUCCAGGUGUAGCGGUGAAAUGCGUAGAUAUCUGGAGGAACACCGGUGGCGAAGGCGGCAUCCUGGACCGGCAUUGACGCUGAGGCGCGAAAGCCAGGGGAGCGAACGGG
This 253-nucleotide ribosomal RNA is filed under the name uncultured bacterium. Its description in RNAcentral is "partial 16S ribosomal RNA". It matches the Rfam family "Bacterial small subunit ribosomal RNA", at positions 524 to 776 of the family's 1533-position model. The record is from RNAcentral.